AAUCCCUCUUAUUCUUUUUUCUUUUCCCCUCUUUUUGCUUGCAGAGAAUGUCACCAUGAAUGUCCAUUGGCAAACUGGAUAAGAAAGAGUGUCACAGUGCAGGACAACCUAGAAGAUGACAGACCAAAAUCAGAAGUUUGGCUGACAUGGAACAAGUUCCAGACAGGAGCAGCUCAUCAUUGAAGAUGCCAUCUCCCAACCCUCACACAGGAGAGAUGCUGUGUCUGGGGUCUGCCAACACCUGCCAUCAUCCUGCUUCCUGGGCAGCUCCAGGCAGAAGAGAAAAUUUGUUUUUUCUACUUCUGUUCAGCUCCUGAGCACAGAUAGGAUAGAUCCUGGAAGAUCACAGCGAGCCUCCCAGGCGCCUCGGCCUUAUUUCCCACUUUCACCGCGGCGGAGCAGCUGGAGCAGCAGCAGCAGCAGGAGCAGCAGCGCUUAUCUCCAGCUCCCAGCACUUCCCCCGGCGUGCGUGUGGGAGCCGGCGUGCCAUGGCCUUGCAGCGGCCGGGGGAGAAGCGCGGCCGGGCCAACAGGAAGGCUCCCUCGCCGUGCGCGGCAUGGCCGGGCCUGCAAUCGGGCGGCUGCAGGGAUUUCCCGUCCCUUCCGCCCGGGCGGCUGCAAGGCCGCGCCAUGGCUUCCUGCGAGGCCUGCAGAGCGUCGGCAGCGCCCGCUGGGCCUCAGGAAGCCGCCGGCCAUGAGCGAGCGGCAGCGGGCGGGCAGGCGGGGGCGAGGAGGUGACACUGGCCAAAACUCAUUUGUUUGGUGGCCGCCAGGCCGACACGCGCUGGCCGGGCCGGAGGAAAACAAAAGCGGGAUGUCUGCUUCAAAAAAGGCAGGAAAUGGAGCAGCACGGGGGGACGGAGAGACCUAUUGGGACUGGGCUGGGGCUUCUCUCUUAACCUAUUGUUUCAUUAUAUAUUAAAAAAAAAAAAAAGAAAAAACAGAGAGAAAAAAAAGGAAAAUAAAUUGAACACAUCCUGUGACCUCUUAUCA
Molecule: long non-coding RNA, 992 nt
Filed under: Junco hyemalis (dark-eyed junco)
Lineage: Eukaryota; Metazoa; Chordata; Aves; Passeriformes; Passerellidae
Description: lncRNA (ENSJHYG00000012887.1)
Source: RNAcentral